CCUGCUUAGCCACUCUCAACCCCACUCCAGGCCUCCCAGCUGGGCCCUGGUCAAACUCAGCCAUUUCCCUUUCUCCUUGGCCACCUACAUCAUCUUCACUCACUUGGGAAAGAAUGGUCUCCAAGGUGACCAAAUUCUUUCUCUGCUCAGGACAAGGCUCUACCCAGCCAACAUGUUUGAAACCAUUUGGUUUGAGUCUUAGCCCUCUCCACGCUCCAUGAGCAUUACUACUAGCUCAUCAGCCUGGACAGGCCCAGGGUCCCUUGCUGGUACCCCCUUCGUGUAUAAAACACGGCCCUGCCUAGGAUGGGACUCUUGAGGGUGAAGACUGUCUGCUCAGCCUCGUGGCUGAAGUGACUCCAUCCUGCCUUUACCCCUUCCGGAAUGUCUGCUCUCCUGACCUUUGGAAAUAUCACAAUGAUGACAGUGAGGAUCAUAAUGGAGAACCCAAGAGUGAUUUCUAGGUGACCGAAAGAUUCAACGCAGACUUUUCCCUCAGACUCCAGGGGCCUUUCCACCUCUGCACAUUACAGCAGUGAGAAACCUGGAGCCCACAGGACACUGGCUAGCAGACACCUUAAGAGACCUUUCUGGAGUGAGUCCUGCUGUGGAAGACUCCUGCAAAUCCAGAGGUGCUCAUAGAACUUUGGAAGGAUGCACAGUAGAGGCCAUGGCCCUGGGAGGACUGCUGGCGAUGGUGGGUAACUCCCUGGUAUUGAUGCCUGCUUUCCAUUAGCGUUCCAUCAACACAGAUUCCUAGUGCUGCUGAAAGACAGAAAUAAAAAUGUGUUAAUUUACCCAGGGAGAUCAAAACAUGUAAUAAGACUAUUGGUUCAUGUAUCAAUGUCAACAGAUCUACAGAUGAAUAAAAACACACAAUUUCAUCUUGCCAUUAAAUGA
Long non-coding RNA from Myodes glareolus (Bank vole), 900 nucleotides. RefSeq lists it as uncharacterized. The record is from RefSeq and is a predicted model, not a curated record. NCBI's taxonomy places the organism in Eukaryota, Metazoa, Chordata, Mammalia, Rodentia, Cricetidae.